This 1137-nucleotide long non-coding RNA is filed under the name Monodelphis domestica (gray short-tailed opossum). RNAcentral describes it as "lncRNA (ENSMODG00000042196.1)". Lineage: Eukaryota; Metazoa; Chordata; Mammalia; Didelphimorphia; Didelphidae. The record is from RNAcentral.
UGGUGAUAAUGGGCAUCCUUGUUUUAUCCCUGACCUUAUUGGAAAAGCUUCUACCUUAUCCCCAUUACAGAUAAUGUUUGUUGAUGAUUUUUUUUAAACCCUUAUCUUCCAUCUUGGAAUCAAUACUGUGUAUUAGUUCUAAGGCAGAAAAGUGGUAAGUGCUAGGCAAUGGGGGCUAAGUAACUUGCCCAGGGUCACACAGCUAGGAAGUGUCCAGAGGCCAGAUUUGAACCUAGGACCUCCCAUCUCUAGGCCUGGCUCUUAAUCCACUGAGCUACCUAGCUGCCCCCUGUUGAUGAUUUUAAAUAGAUACUAUUUAUCAUUUUAAGGAUAGCUCCAUUUAUUCCCUUUGUUUGGCUUUUAAAAUCCUUUAUAACCUCAUCCCUUUCUACCUUUUCAAUCUUUUUUUUAAACCCUUACAUUCUAUCUCAGAGUCAAUACAAAGUCAUGGCUCUAAGACAGGAGAAAAGGUUAACAUUGGUUACACCAACAAAAAUAAGAUAUCAGAUCAGGAAUUUCAGGAGCUGAUGAAAAGUCUGCCAGUUUGUGUUCAAAAAAUCCAAUGGGAAAGACCGGAGAGUGUCCUUAUCUAGCCCAGAGCAGCACAAAACGGCAGCCAGCAACCUGCAGGCCAUAGACAAGAAAUUCCACCAGAAAAGUCAGCCCAAGUCCAGGAAAACAAGACAGAAGCCCACCUGGAUAGAGCAGAGAUGUUCCAAGGGACCUCGAGGCUUGCAACAAUCUAUAAAAGUGGAGGAAGUGAGUGAGGAAGCUCCAAAGUGGUUGGAAACCACAACUUUCUGACCUCAGAUAAAGGUUGAGAGGCAACAGCACCUACACCAGGAUGACAUCCUUCAAACCAAAAUAUUCCCAGGGCCUCUAGAAGUCUGCUGCAACACUCUGAAUUGAGACAGUCCUGGAGGCCUUAAAGAUCCAACAAGUGACCUCCAACAAUUUGAGGGGGCCUGAAACCUACCAGGACUCUAUGGUCAGUCACCUCAAGGGAAGUGGAAGUCCCCAUCAGGAGACUAGCUAUGCAGAAUUAGCCCUGUCACAAAAUGUCAUUUCGGGAGCUGAAGGUCAAGAGAUGAGUAAAGAGUAAAGAGAAAAGUCACCAAAACUUAUGGAUAAAUAUUA